Canis lupus familiaris (dog) is the source of this 475-nucleotide long non-coding RNA. RefSeq lists it as uncharacterized. Lineage: Eukaryota; Metazoa; Chordata; Mammalia; Carnivora; Canidae. The record is from RefSeq and is a predicted model, not a curated record. The transcript is spliced from 4 exons.
GAGAAGGAGAAGGAGAAGGAGAAGGAGAAGGAGGAGAAGAAGGAGAAGAAGGAGAAGAAGGAGAAGAAGGAGAAGAAGGAGAAGAAGGAGAAGGAGAAGAAGAAGGAGAAGAAAAAGAAGAGGAAGACCUAAACAUUUGCAUCUUAAACAUCCUGUUCUUUUCUUUCUUUUUGAGGAAGUGGUUCCAUCUGUACCUAUUGAUUCUAUGUGUCCAUGCAAGGAGGUGAGAUCAGAAUCUUCCUACAUUGCCAUCUUGAACUGGUCUCAUAGCAACUUUGAGAAGAAGGAUAUGCAAAUUAGUGAAGGGGUUUCCAGAACAUCAGUGUUUAGAAUCAAAGAGUGGGCCUAACCAUGACCUGAGCAAAACAAUAUUCAGAAACUCCUGUGAAUGUCUGGAACCCUCUAGGAUGGGUACGAUGUUUAUAGAUGGGGCUUCGAGGACAUAAGUGACUUAACUCACUUGGUUGUGAAAAAG